Amblyraja radiata (thorny skate) is the source of this 1110-nucleotide long non-coding RNA. RefSeq lists it as uncharacterized. The transcript is spliced from 2 exons. The record is from RefSeq and is a predicted model, not a curated record. NCBI's taxonomy places the organism in Eukaryota, Metazoa, Chordata, Chondrichthyes, Rajiformes, Rajidae.
GCUCAGUCAAUAUUUUUUUCCUUCUCAGUGUUGCCUUUCUGAUUACUGCAGGCAAGACUGACACCUGCAGGAUAUAUCUACUUUGGUUAAAAGAAAAUCCAAACCAUCAGCCCAUAAAAAGAACAUUACUCAAACUUACAGCUCUAAAUAACCAACGCUGAAAAUGGAAAGGUUCAUGUUUACCCACCUUAACGUACGCUGUGAGUCCAGUGCAGAAUGGAUCGUUCGGCUGCACAGAGUGGUUUGUGGCACCAAUCCCAGGGAACAUUACUGUGCCAGUUAGUGACACUUCCAAUGACUUUGGGAAUUUCUGACCUUAACACAGAAUAAAACAAAGUCCAAACAACUAAUUGCAUUCAAUAAAUCUUUCUAUAUUUAGUAUAUUUUUAUUGCGGCAUGUAUUCUUAAAGAUUCACCACGAGUGCCGAUUCUUAUAAUUUCUAUUUGAAUGUGAUCUAAUUGGUUUGAAAAAUAUAAUAUGAAGUGUCAAUUCUGGGCAACAACUCUAAUAGCCUUAGAAGCCUCAGUUUUCCAUAAGAUUUGUUUGUCUACAAGAUCGAAAUUAACAAUGAGUAAUAUAAUUUUUUAUCUGGAACCGUUAAAACUAUAAUGCAGUAACACUAUUCUGCACUCUGGCAUUUUUCUCUUUGUUCUUCCUAUUGUACUUGUGUAUGGCUUGAUUGUAUUCAUGGAUUAAUUACCUGAUUUAAUUUGAUAGCACUUAAACAAAAGCUUUUCACUGUAUAUCGGUACACAUGACAAUAAUAAACCAAUAGAAAAUACCAACAAAUUAACAAAAACUAAAAAUGGUUGAAAGCAGGACAAGCAAUAUCUGUGGACAUAGAAACACUCAAAAAUAAAAUUGAGCCAACACAUUAGAUCUGUUUCUCUUUCUACCGGUGCUGAAUUUGUACUACCUGCUGAAUGUUUCCAGCAUUCCCGCUUUGUGUUCCAGAUUUUUGGCAUCUGCGUUUUUUGUAAUUUUCAUACACAAUUAGAUCAUGAUUUUGGUUAGCCUCGUAACCUGUAUUGAUCAUUAUCCAAUAACUCAUGGAAUUGUACAUCUCUGGUCAGUUGAAUAAUCAAAUACAAAAAGGUUUAUCAAAUUGA